AAGACAGAGGUGAAAUCCCUGGGCUCAACCUAGGAAUGGCCUUUGUGACUGCAAGGCUGGAGUGCGGCAGAGGGGGAUGGAAUUCCGCGUGUAGCAGUGAAAUGCGUAGAUAUGCGGAGGAACACCGAUGGCGAAGGCAAUCCCCUGGGCCUGUACUGACGCUCAUGCACGAAAGCGUGGGGAGCAAACAGGAUUAGAUACCCUGGUAGUCCACGCCCUAAACGAUGUCAACUAGUUGUUGGGGAUUUACUUCCUUGGUAACGUAGCUAACGCGUGAAGUUGACCGCCUGGGGAGUACGGCCGCAAGGUUAAAACUCAAAGGAAUUGACGGGGACCCGCACAAGC
This 345-nucleotide ribosomal RNA is filed under the name Ditylum brightwellii. RNAcentral's name for it is "partial Bacterial small subunit ribosomal RNA". It matches the Rfam family "Bacterial small subunit ribosomal RNA", at positions 585 to 930 of the family's 1533-position model. Lineage: Eukaryota; Bacillariophyta; Thalassiosirophyceae; Lithodesmiales; Lithodesmiaceae. The record is from RNAcentral.